GGGUAUCCAACGCCGCCGUGGCGAAGGUAACGCGUUAAGCGUUCCGUCUGGGGAGUACGGUCGCAAGGCUGAAACUCAAUGGAAUUGACGGGGGCCCGCACAAGCGGUGGAGCAUGUGGUUUAAUUCGACGCAACGCGAAGAACCUUACCUGGGCUCGAAAUGUAGUGGACCGGGGUAGAAAUAUCCCUUCCCCGCAAGGGGUUGCUAUAUAGGUGCUGCAUGGCUGUCGUCAGCUCGUGUCGUGAGAUGUUGGGUUAAGUCCCGCAACGAGCGCAACCCUUAUCUCCAGUUGCCACCAUUUAGUUGGGCACUCUGGCGAAUCCGCCUCGGAUAACGGGGAGGAAGGUGGGGAUGACGUCAAGUCCUCAUGGCCUUUAUGUCCAGGGCUACACACGUGCUACAAUGGCCGAUACAAACCGGUGCAAGCCCGCGAGGGGGAGCUAAUCGGAAAAAGUCGGCCUCAGUUCGGAUUACAGUCUGCAACUCGACUGCAUGAAGCUGGAAU
RNAcentral lists this ribosomal RNA (506 nucleotides) under uncultured bacterium. Its description in RNAcentral is "bacterial SSU rRNA". It matches the Rfam family "Bacterial small subunit ribosomal RNA", at positions 827 to 1332 of the family's 1533-position model. The record is from RNAcentral.